This 128-nucleotide ribosomal RNA is filed under the name uncultured eukaryote. Its description in RNAcentral is "partial small subunit ribosomal RNA". It matches the Rfam family "Eukaryotic small subunit ribosomal RNA", at positions 1651 to 1792 of the family's 1831-position model. The record is from RNAcentral.
CCCUGCCAUUUGUACACACCGCCCGUCGUUGUUUCCGAUGAUGGUGCAAUACAGGUGAUCGGACAGCGAGCGUCACCGCUUGCCUGAAAGUUCACCGAUAUUUCUUCAAUAGAGGAAGCAAAAGUCGU